GAGAGUCCCUCCCUCGCUUCUCAUGUUGCAGGAAGAACGUAAGCGCCCGCCCCUUGUCAAUCAGUCACCAUAUAAUUUUGGAUUGGUUGUUGUGGUGAAGUUUUCCACCAAUAGGAGAGAUGUUGUGGUGUGUUUUUUUUUUCUUUUGGCAAGCCUUUUCCGCCUGUAAGACCUGUCGCUAAUGUCUGCAUGCUAUGUUUUCCUGUCUCAUACAGCGCGAUCGAGCGCCGAACGUGAUCAAAAUAAGCAGAAAAAAAGUAUCGCGGACAUAAUUUAUCAUAACUCUGGUUUUAUUUGGCCUAUCAACACAAUUUAAAAACUGGUAUAUAGGUUGAGGUCCUCACUUUUGAGAUAAGUUGAAACGGAGAGUCAACAAGGCUCCGUCUUGCAGCUACAUCCGGUUAAAUAUGUCAUGUGACUUGAACGCACACACAGACACACACACACGCACACACACACACACACACACACACACUCAGAGUCUGGUUUUUAGCACCUGCAAAAACAUGCUAUUUACAUAUUUGACAAGAAUGCAGAGGCUCCUUUUGCCCCUGAAAAAAAUCAAAUUUCAAACACAACUUGACUGCUCAUUUCUCCAAAAGACAACCAUGAAGCUCCAUCCAAACCUGAAGCAGGCAGUUGGUGCAUGUGUACAGUAACCUGAGGGGAGUGAGGUGAGUGCUUCUGAGGAGAACAUGAGCAGUGAAGAUUCACCUUGGAGCUAGAACAGAGACAUGCACAUGAUUAUACAGGGGCAGGGGCUCAAGUUUUUUCCAGUCGUUUAUACAAUAUGGAAAUUAAUGUGAAAUUAAAACACAAAGUAUUAAUACAAAGGUAAUGACUGUCCUGUGUAGGUGACAGUGAUAUCCAAUAGGCUAGGCACUCACGAGGCUGGCUGUGGCAAGUGUAAGUGAAAGCAACACGCACUGGCAGGAAGAACAGCAAACGCCGAUGAAGGAAAAGGGUCUUUGCAGUGAUGGGCGUUACCAGAGAGGGCGAUGGCCAGAGGACACAAAUGCGACGGGGAGGCAGCACGUUGGGGGGGGGGGACGCGACACGGCUCGGGCCCGCCAGUGCCCCAACGGGGUCCUAGUUCGCAUUUUUUGCCGAUUCGCACACAUUGGAAUGUAGCUAACUCCUCCUAAGGCUUUCGCUCCACCGGCACCAAAUUUGCUCAGGCCAAUCUACACCCCAUGGUCAGUCAAAGUUGUAAAAAUCAUGACGCUGCACCCCACGGUUUAAGUUCUAGGGGGCGCCAAAGAUGACCCAAAUAUCCAUAUUCUUAAAAGUGUUAUAACAUUUUAUUUUUGUCCUCACUGGCCUCCAUGUUUUCUAGGAUGAUGCAAUGUCCAGCCAUCAACACAUUUGUGAAGGAGUUUUUCCUCGUUAAAAGAGCGCCCCCCCAUGGCAGGAGAAUAAAGUCAAGUUUUUCCUGUUCAUCGUUCAAUGGCUCAAACGCAUCGCUCUCUCGGCAAAAGCGAAAGGAGGAGCAACUUGCCAUUUGGAUAUAUCUUAGCUGUGUUUGUGCCCUCACUCAUGGUCCAGACUUUUUUCAAAUAGGACAUGGAGUUUUUCUGCAGCGAGCGUUUUGGUAGAAACUGCGCCUCCCAUUCAUUAUAAUGGUAAAUGACCACAGACAAGUGCGCACACCAUCUUUGGACCUUGAGUGUGACGCGAUUGGGUGGGGGAGGCGUCGCGCUGGGGGCGGCGCGACACGGCUCGGGCCCGCCAGUGCCCCACCGGGGCCCUAGUUCUUUCUUUCUUUCUUCUUAUUUUUCCUCCCCUUUGAAGGGGAAAAUGGCCCACUUCCCACUGGCGAAAACUCAUGACAUUUGGCAGGAUGACCGGGCCUGGUGAAAAAUUCGAUAUUCUGAAGUCGCCCAAACAAUAAAAUGCAAAAUGGCUCCAUAGCGCCCCCUAAGGUGGAAAUUCACACUAUUGACUGUCACGCUUGUACGCUUUGUCAUAUUGACACAAAAAUUGACACACACAUGUAUCUCAAUACGAUCUACAAAAAAGUCAGUGUGGGCGUAUCUGUCAAAUGUACGGUUAAAGGGUUAUUUCGCAUUUUUUGCCGAUCCGCACACAUUGGAAUUUCGCUAACUCCUCCGAAGGCUUUCGUUCCACCGGCACCAAAUUUGCUCAGGCCAAUCUACACCCCAUGGCAAUUAAAAGUUGUACAAAUCAUGACGCUGCACCCCACGGUUUAGGUUCUAGGGGGCGCCAAAGAUAACCCAAAAAUCCACAUUCUUAAAAGUCUUAUAACUUUUUAUUUUUGUCCUCACUGGCCUCCAAGUUUUGUAGGAUGAUGCAAUGUCCAGCAAUUAACACAUUUGUGAAGGAAUUUUUACUCGCCAAAAGAGCGCCCCCCCAUGGCAGGAGAAAAAAGUCCAUUUUUUUCUUGUCCCCUAAGGCGAAAAUACACAUUGUUGAGUGUCACGCCUGUACGCUUUGUCAUAUUGACACAAAAUUUGACAAUCACGUGUAUCUCAAUAAGAUCUACGAAAAAGUCAAUGUGCACGUAUCUGUAAAAUGUACGGUUAAAGGGCUAUUUCGCAUUUUUUGCCGAUUCGCACACAUUGGAAUGUGGCUAACUCCUCCUAAGGCUUUCGUUCCACUGACACCAAAUUUGCUCAGGCCAAUCUACACCCCA
Molecule: long non-coding RNA, 2653 nt
Filed under: Xyrichtys novacula (pearly razorfish)
Lineage: Eukaryota; Metazoa; Chordata; Actinopteri; Labriformes; Labridae
Source: RNAcentral